RNAcentral lists this ribosomal RNA (493 nucleotides) under uncultured bacterium. RNAcentral's name for it is "partial 16S ribosomal RNA". It matches the Rfam family "Bacterial small subunit ribosomal RNA", at positions 28 to 507 of the family's 1533-position model. The record is from RNAcentral.
GACGAACGCUGGCGGCGUGCUUAACACAUGCAAGUCGAACGGUGAAGGGACAGGUUUUUGCUGGUUCUGGAUGAGUGGCGCACGGGUGAGUAACACGUGAGUGACCUGCCCCUUUCUUCUGGAUAACCGCAUGAAAGUGUGGCCAAUACGGGAUAUUCUGCGCCUGCUGCAUGGUGGGUGUGGGAAAGAUAUUGUUUCGGUGGGGGGUGGGCUGGCGGCCUAUCAGGUUGUUGGUGGGGUGCUGGCCUACCAAGGCGGUGACGGGUAGCCGGCCGGGGAGGGUGGACGGCAAUAGAGGUGAGGAGCCACGGCCCAGCCUCCGACGGGAGGCAGCAGGGGGUAAUGGUGCACAGGGGGAGGAAGCCUGAUGCAGCGACGCCGCGGGAGGGAUGGAGGCCGUCGGGUUGUAAACCUCUUUCGGGAGUGAAGCAGGGCUGGCCCUUAUGUGGGUGGGUUGACGGUAGCUGGAGAAGAAGCGCCGGCUAACUACGUG